UACGUAGGGUGCGAGCGUUGUCCGGAUUUAUUGGGCGUAAAGAGCUCGUAGGCGGCUUGUCGCGUCGGAUGUGAAAGCCCGGGGCUUAACUCCGGGUCUGCAUUCGAUACGGGCAGGCUAGAGUGUGGUAGGGGAGAUCGGAAUUCCAGGUGUAGCGGUGAAAUGCGUAGAUAUCUGGAGGAAUACCGGUGGCGAAGGCGCAGUCCUGGAGCCGACAUUGACGCUGAGGAGCGAAAGCUAGGGGAGCAACGG
This 252-nucleotide ribosomal RNA is filed under the name uncultured bacterium. RNAcentral's name for it is "partial 16S ribosomal RNA". It matches the Rfam family "Bacterial small subunit ribosomal RNA", at positions 524 to 774 of the family's 1533-position model. The record is from RNAcentral.